GACCUCAAAUCGGGUGGGACUACCCGCUGAACUUAAGCAUAUCAAUAAGCGGAGGAAAAGAAACUAACAAGGAUUCCCCUAGUAACGGCGAGUGAAGAGGGAAAAGCUCAAAUUUUGAAUCUGGUGCCUUUGACUCCCGAGUUGUAAUCUAGAGAAGUGUUUUCCGUGUCGGACCGUGCACAAGUUCCCUGGAACGGGGCGUCAUAGAGGGUGAGAAUCCCGUAUAUGGCACGGACUGCCGAUGCUUUGUGAUACACUCUCAACGAGUCGAGUUGUUUGGGAAUGCAGCUCAAAAUGGGUGGUAAAUUCCAUCUAAAGCUAAAUAUUGGCGAGAGACCGAUAGCGAACAAGUACCGUGAGGGAAAGAUGAAAAGCACUUUGGAAAGAGAGUGAAACAGUACGUGAAAUUGUUGAAAGGGAAGCGUUUGAAGUCAG
Molecule: ribosomal RNA, 435 nt
Filed under: uncultured fungus
Lineage: Eukaryota; Fungi
Description: eukaryotic LSU rRNA
Rfam family: Eukaryotic large subunit ribosomal RNA
Source: RNAcentral